AGACAGGCAGUAUGUAUAUGAAAUAAAUUCCUCUAUUCAAGCUAACAAAAAAUAUCUCAUCUACAUUUUGUUUAUCCAUGGAAAGAAACUGAGCAUGUCCUCUGCAGUUUUACUACAGGUCAUCUGAAGGGCAGCCCAUGGAUUCCUCUGAUCCAUGCAGACUUCCCAAGGGCCAAAGAACAAGGCCCGUUUGAUCCAGCACCUGCUGUGAGCCCAUCACUUGGAUACUUUUGCUGCAAAUUUUUACCAGACUGAACAGAGUAAUAUGUAAAGGGGGAAAAAAGCUCAAAGAGCAACAGGAAAAUCAGCAGGAAAUCAACAAAAAAUAUUAUUAAGAGCACUGAUCAAUCAUCUCAGCAUUAUUUUGCCCAAUAUGGUUGCACUUGCAAUAGACCAGCAAUUGGCUCCAGGACUGAAUCCUGGCAUCAGAGAAGACCCCAGGAUCCCAUGACCACAAUAAAUGUGCUGAUCUUCCUCAGCACUCAAACUGGCCUUCCUCAUUCCUUUCACUAAUUCAUCAUUCCUUUCAUUUUAUAAAUCAGAAGAAAGUUUCAAACCUCGAUGCCACAAAGGAAUGGUCUGUGAGUUUUUGCCUCAACAGAAUUUAGAAGUUCUAUUGUCAGAACUGUGCAUUCAACAAAGGACUAAUAUACAGAACCUACAAGGAACUCAAACAACUUAACAAAUAAAAGCAACUAACCACUUUAAAAAGUGGGAAAAGAACAUGAACAGUCAUUUCUCAAAAGAAAACAUACUAGCAGCCAGCAAACAUGUAAACAACUACCCAUCACUUAUUAUUAGAGAAAUGCAAAUUAAAACUACAAUGAGAUACCAUCUCACACUAGUCAGAAUAAUUACUACUAAAAAGUCAAAAAACAACAGAUGUUGGUAAGGAUGCAGAGAAAACGCUUAUACACUGUUGAUGAGAAUGUAAAUUAGCACAACAUUUAUGGAAAACAGUAUGGAGACUUCUCACAAAACUAAAAAUAAAACUACCAUUUGACCCAGCAACCCCACUACCAGGUACCUAGCCAAAGAAAAAGAAAUCGUUAAAUCAAAAAGACAUCUGCACUCGUAUAUUCAUAGCAGCACUAUUCACAAUACAAAGGUCAUGGAAUUAACCUAAGUGUCCAUCAGUGGAUGACUGGAUAAAGUGUAUGUGGUAUGUAUACAGCAUGGAAUACUAUGCAGCCAUGAAAAAGAAUUAAAUUAGUUUUUUGCAGCAACAUGGAUGGAGCUGAAGGUCAUUUUCCUAUGUGAAACAACUCAGAAACAGAAAAUCUAAUACUGCAUGUUCUCACUUAAAAGUGGGGACUAAAUAGUGGGUACAUAUGGAUGUAUAAAGGGAAAUAAUAGACACUGGUGACUCCUAAAGCAGGGAGGAUGAGAGGAGGUAAGGGCUGAAAAAUUACCUAUUGAGUACAAUGUUCACUAAUUGAGUGAUGGGUACAAUGGAAGCCUAAACCCCACCACUGCGAUAUAUCCAUGUAACAAACCUGCACAUACCACCUGAAUCUACAAAGAUUCUAAAAAAUUUAAAAAUAAGUUAUGUUAUUAAAUGAACUCACAUUUAAUACUGCUAUAGCUUGUUCAACUGACAUUUCUAUCAUUAUGUAAUGCCUCUCUUUAUUGCUGGUAAUUUCUUUGCCCUGAUAUUACUUUAUCUGAUAUUAAAUUACUCAGCUAUCUUUUGAUAAAUGUUUGAAUAGUAUAUCUUUUCUCUUUUCUUUUACUUUUACUCAACCUAUAUUAUCACAUUUAAUUGUCAACCCAGAGUCUUAUAGAGUAAUAUUCAAAAUGUUCUGUAUACAAUCCAAAAUUAUUCACCAUGUGAAAAACCAGAAAUAUCUCAACUCAAAAAGAGAAAUACAUUACCUGAAGUGAUAAACAACCCAAUUUUCCUGAUUUUAUCAUCAUACAUCGUAUACUUGUGUCACAUGUACCCAAUUAAUACUUAUAAAUGUUAUGUACCCAUAAAAAUUAAAAAGAAAAAAGAAAAAGACAAUCAACAGAUGCUGACUCUGUGAUGUCGUCAUUAAAUUUGGGCUUCUGCCA
This 2055-nucleotide long non-coding RNA is filed under the name Homo sapiens (human). Its description in RNAcentral is "HSALNT0061827". Lineage: Eukaryota; Metazoa; Chordata; Mammalia; Primates; Hominidae. The record is from RNAcentral.